AUUGAACGCUGUCGGCAGGCCUAACACAUGCAAGUCGAGCGAGUGGCGGACGGGUGAGUCAUGUCUGGGGAUCUGCCCGAUAGAGGGGGAUAACUACUGGAAACGGUAGCUAAUACCGCAUACUAUCGGAUGAACCCAUAUGGGAUUAGCUAGUAGGUGGGGUAAAGGCUCACCUAGGCGACGAUCUCUAGCUGGUCUGAGAGGAUGACCAGCCACACUGGGACUGAGACACGGCCCAGACUCCUACGGGAGGCAGCAGUGGGGAAUAUUGCACAAUGGGCGCAAGCCUGAUGCAGCCAUGCCGCGUGUAUGAAGAAGGCCUGAGGGUUGUAAAGUACUUGCAGCGUGGAGGCGUUACCCGCAGAAGAAGCACCGGCUAACUCCGUGCCAGCAGCCGCGGUAAUAC
RNAcentral lists this ribosomal RNA (406 nucleotides) under uncultured bacterium. RNAcentral describes it as "partial 16S ribosomal RNA". It matches the Rfam family "Bacterial small subunit ribosomal RNA", at positions 30 to 526 of the family's 1533-position model. The record is from RNAcentral.